Molecule: unclassified non-coding RNA, 148 nt
Filed under: uncultured Leucosporidium
Lineage: Eukaryota; Fungi; Basidiomycota; Microbotryomycetes; Leucosporidiales
Description: sequence contains ITS1
Source: RNAcentral
GUGAAUAUUAGCGCAUCUACUUGUAGAGCGUGACCUCCACUUUCUAACUCUGUGCAUUUAUUGGCGGAAGAACUAGAGUAAUCGAAUUCUUCUGCGGCUCAUUUUAUAACACUAGUUAAAGUAUGUAACGAAAUAUCGAAACAAAAAA